GCCCGACUUGAGCGGAAAUCCUUUUUGUGUAGCAAAGCGGAACAAAAAGAUUGGGAGCGGAAGGCGGAAAAAGCU
Molecule: small RNA, 75 nt
Filed under: Epilithonimonas arachidiradicis
Lineage: Bacteria; Pseudomonadati; Bacteroidota; Flavobacteriia; Flavobacteriales; Weeksellaceae
Description: Chryseobacterium arachidiradicis Flavo-1 RNA
Source: RNAcentral